CUGAUUCGCACGUACUUUGUUUAUACUACAGAGCUGCAGUAUUUACCACACAUUUUACAAGGUUAGAUAUUUGUCAGGAUCUGCAAAUCAUUUGCCAUCAUCUUAUUAGUCAUCUCUCCUUACUCUGUUUCUGAGAAGAAUGAACACCAUACGGUUGUGGAACGACAUGAUGGCUCAUAUGACUGAUAAAACAGGGAGGAGUGACAAAGAAAGCGAAGAGGCACAAAGAAAACUUGAGAAAUGACUGAGAGAACGACACUCUGAAGGAGCUCAGCUGCUAUAAAGAUCCAUUUAAUCCGUCUAUCUGCUGCUGCGGCCUCUUUCUGUCCUCAUUCACUCUCUCGUGCUGAAGUGGAAAACAUGGUCAGCAUCACCAUCUGUGUGUGCUGAGGAUCAGGUGGGCUGUUUGCUGCGAUUAAACGUCUUCUAAUCCUCCGGCUGCUCUUCUCAGAGCAAACAGAGAGAGAGAGAGAGAGAGAGAAGGAGGAAGAAGAAAAGUGCAGGAGGAAGAGUAGGUAGCUUUGUUGGA
Long non-coding RNA from Labeo rohita (rohu), 529 nucleotides. RefSeq lists it as uncharacterized. Lineage: Eukaryota; Metazoa; Chordata; Actinopteri; Cypriniformes; Cyprinidae. The transcript is spliced from 4 exons. The record is from RefSeq and is a predicted model, not a curated record.